AGGGGCUACCUCGAGUGCCACCUGAUGAAGGUGGCUUUUCCUAGGUCUAAAAAGCCUUGGGAAUAAGAGGGGGGCAAGACUGGUGUCAGCCGCCGCGGUAACACCAGCCCCUCGAGUGGUGGGGAUGAUUAUUGGGCCUAAAGCGUCCGUAGCCUGCCGUGUAAGUUUCCCGUUAAAUCCAGCGUCUUAAGCGUUGGACCGCGGGAAAUACUGUACGGCUAGAGAGUGGGAGAGGUCAGCGGUAUUCUGGGGGUAGGGGCGAAAUCCUUUGAUCCCCGGAGGACCACCAGUGGCGAAGGCUGCUGUCUAGAACACGUCUGACGGUCAGGGACGAAAGCUGGGGUAGCGAACCGGAUUAGAUACCCGGGUAGUCCCAGCCGUAAACGAUGCAUGCUAGGUGUUGGGUUGGCCACGAGCCACCCCAGUGCCGCAGGGAAGCCGUUAAGCAUGCCGCCUGGGA
RNAcentral lists this ribosomal RNA (460 nucleotides) under uncultured archaeon. RNAcentral describes it as "bacterial SSU rRNA". It matches the Rfam family "Archaeal small subunit ribosomal RNA", at positions 371 to 833 of the family's 1478-position model. The record is from RNAcentral.